GCUCAGAUUGAACGCUGGCGGCAGGCCUAACACAUGCAAGUCGAGCGGUAACAGAGAGUAGCUUGCACCUUUGCUGACGAGCGGCGGACGGGUGAGUAAUGCUUGGGAACAUGCCUUGAGGUGGGGGACAACAGUUGGAAACGACUGCUAAUACCGCAUAAUGUCUACGGACCAAAGGGGGCUUCGGCUCUCGCCUUUAGAUUGGCCCAAGUGGGAUUAGCUAGUUGGUGAGGUAAUGGCUCACCAAGGCGACGAUCCCUAGCUGGUUUGAGAGGAUGAUCAGCCACACUGGGACUGAGACACGUCACGCC
This 311-nucleotide ribosomal RNA is filed under the name Pseudoalteromonas sp. RNAcentral describes it as "bacterial SSU rRNA". It matches the Rfam family "Bacterial small subunit ribosomal RNA", at positions 22 to 335 of the family's 1533-position model. The record is from RNAcentral. Lineage: Bacteria; Pseudomonadati; Pseudomonadota; Gammaproteobacteria; Alteromonadales; Pseudoalteromonadaceae.